UUUCCAUCUUUCUAUUAGUCUGUCUCUCGCUACUCUCUCUAUAUAUUAUUUUUGUUAUUAUUUCACCCAUAAUAAUAAUAAAGCCAUGUCCUAUUUUGAGUGUUUUAACCCUUGACUACUGAUACCCUGUCCGACUGACGUAGGGCCCCGUAACGUAUAUUAAGGCUCUGCCUAAAUUCGUUGGGGUUCUGUCUCGUGACGUAGGGAUAAAGUAGAAUUGGAUUACUAUACUUAAUAUGAGUGCACUAUAUAUUUUAUUAAAUAACCCAGGAGUGAUACCCAAAAUAUAACAACCCUUCUAAAACACCCUUGACACCCUACACUUCCUAAAAAAACACCCCGUAUGUGAAAACCGAGCCCGAAAUACAAUAUAGCAUUAAAAAUAAAUUCAAAACAAGAAAAAGUAAGUUGAGGCAGGCCGCGUAAGAUCCUCGCUUAGUUAACGCGGGCCGCGAGAGAUCUAAGUUGUGGCGUAGCCCGGUGAUGACACGUGUCAUCAUCGUGGCGGGUCUAGAGGGUGAGCCGGACAAGCUAGUCCGUUGACCAGGGUUGACGCGGGCCGCGUAACCCCUGUCCUUUCUUUACGCGGGCCGCGUGGGAACCAGUUUCAGCAACUAUAAAUAGAGGCCAUCGGAUUUCAUUUGGAAUUCGCUCACGAACGUUUUCUUCUCUCAAAUCUGAAUAUUAGGCAUAAUACUCGGGUAUUAUACCCCCCCUAAUUAGCGAAGCUCUGCCUCGUUAUUAUAACCAGGAAGUCACAAAGGAAAGCCCUAUAAUAGCAAUGUGAGUUAAUCCUCUUUUUAUAUACUCAUUUUUGUGAGUAAUCCUCUUUUUGUUAAAUGUUUUUACAAAACCUUACAUACUUUUCCAUGCGAAUAGCAGUUAUUGAGUAUUUGUAACUUAGUAUGAAGCCAAUAAAAGCCAGCUGGAGAGCACUGAAGGCUUGGAAAAGUGGCAAUAAAGUUACCUAAAAUAAAAUAGAUGUUUUUUUAAAUAAAAUAGGAUUUAUUCCUAUGAAAAUUUGUGUACUGCAAACUUGGGUUUUAUCCCAUGUGUUUAAUAUUAUGAAAAUAUGGUGGUUUUACU
This 1086-nucleotide long non-coding RNA is filed under the name Helianthus annuus (common sunflower). RNAcentral's name for it is "hypothetical non coding rna". Lineage: Eukaryota; Viridiplantae; Streptophyta; Magnoliopsida; Asterales; Asteraceae. The record is from RNAcentral.